GAUGAACGCUAGCUACAGGCUUAACACAUGCAAGUCGAGGGGUAACAUGGAGGGAGCUUGCUUCCUCCGAUGACGACCGGCGAAUGGGUGAGUAACGCGUAUCCAACCUGCCCCUUUCCCACGGAUAGCCCUUAGAAAUGAGGAUUAAUACGUGAUGGCAUCCGGCAAUCGCAUGAGCGCCGGAUUAAAGAUUCAUCGGAAAGGGAUGGGGAUGCGUCUGAUUAGGUAGUUGGCGGGGUAACGGCCCACCAAGCCCUCGAUCAGUAGGGGUUCUGAGAGGAAGGUCCCCCACAUUGGUACUGAGACACGGACCAAACUCC
Molecule: ribosomal RNA, 320 nt
Filed under: uncultured Bacteroidales bacterium
Lineage: Bacteria; Pseudomonadati; Bacteroidota; Bacteroidia; Bacteroidales
Description: bacterial SSU rRNA
Rfam family: Bacterial small subunit ribosomal RNA
Source: RNAcentral